UACGAAGGGAGCAAGCGUUGUCCGGAUUUAUUGGGCGUAAAGAGCGUGUAGGCGGCCAGACAGGUCCGUUGUGAAAGUCGGGGGCUCAACCCUCGAAUGCCGGUGGAUACUGUCGGGCUAGAGUACGGAAGAGGCGAGUGGAAUUCCUGGUGUAGCGGUGAAAUGCGCAGAUAUCAGGAGGAACACCAAUUGCGAAGGCAGCUCGCUGGGACGUCACUGACGCUGAGACGCGAAAGCGUGGGGAGCAAACAGG
Molecule: ribosomal RNA, 253 nt
Filed under: uncultured bacterium
Lineage: Bacteria
Description: partial 16S ribosomal RNA
Rfam family: Bacterial small subunit ribosomal RNA
Source: RNAcentral